AGGACCUGGGAUGUUUUCCUUAUUACUCAGACGUGUAUACCCUGAUUUUGGAUAUCUGCCUAAUUCCCCAAGAGGGUCUACACAGGCCGAUGUGUAUUUUCUCUAACAUGGGCUGUCUCCCUGAUUGCCAAGAUUUGCCUACAGUGACCUGGGAUGUCUGAAUAGUCUCAGCUGUGUCUACGAGGAUGUUGAAAGUCUUUCAUUUCCCCAGGUGUCUCCACUCCAAACUAGGCUAUCAUCUUAAUUCAAAAGGUUUGACUGCCCUGAUGUUGCAAGUCUGCCAAUUUUCCCAUGGGUCUACACUGAUCAAGGAAUUCCCCUGAAUCUCCAGAGAUAAAGGGACCAAGAGAGAAUACCAUGAACAGCUACACACCAACAGAUACCCUACAUGAAGUGGACAAAUUUCUAGAACACGCAAACCACAACUGACUCCGGAGGAAAUAGAAACUCUGAUGAGACCAACAACAAGGGAAGAGAUUGAAUCAGUGAUGAAUACCUCUGAGCAAAGAAAAGCUCAG
Molecule: non-coding RNA, 518 nt
Organism: Callorhinus ursinus (northern fur seal)
Lineage: Eukaryota; Metazoa; Chordata; Mammalia; Carnivora; Otariidae
Source: RefSeq, a predicted model, not a curated record